This 520-nucleotide ribosomal RNA is filed under the name uncultured Glomus. RNAcentral's name for it is "SSU rRNA". It matches the Rfam family "Eukaryotic small subunit ribosomal RNA", at positions 569 to 1090 of the family's 1831-position model. Lineage: Eukaryota; Fungi; Glomeromycota; Glomeromycetes; Glomerales; Glomeraceae. The record is from RNAcentral.
AGCAGCCGCGGUAAUUCCAGCUCCAAUAGCGUAUAUUAAAGUUGUUGCAGUUAAAAAGCUCGUAGUUGAAUUUCGGGGUUAGUAGGUUGGUCGUGCCACUGGUACGUACUGGUCUCACUGAUUCCUCCUUCCUGAUGAACUGUAAUGCCAUUAAUUUGGUGUUGCAGGGAAACUGGACUGUUACUUUGAAAAAAUUAGAGUGUUUAAAGCAAGCUAACGCUUGAAUACAUUAGCAUGGAAUAAUGAAAUAGGACGUUCGAUCCUAUUUUGUUGGUUUCUAGGAUUGACGUAAUGAUUAAUAGGGAUAGUUGGGGGCAUUAGUAUUCAAUUGUCAGAGGUGAAAUUCUUGGAUUUAUUGAAGACUAACUACUGCGAAAGCAUUUGCCAAGGAUGUUUUCAUUAAUCAAGAAUGAAAGUUAGGGGAUCGAAGACGAUCAGAUACCGUCGUAGUCUUAACCAUAAACUAUGCCGACUAGGGAUCGGAUGAUGUUAAUUUUUUAAUGACUCGUUUGGCACCUUA